UCUCCUAUGGGAGGCAGCAGUGGGGGAUAUUGCACAAUGGGGGAAACCCUGAUGCAGCGACGCCGCGUGAGUGAAGAAGUAUUUCGGUACGUAAAGCUCUAUCAGCAGGGAAGAAAAAUGACGGUACCUGACUAAGAAGCCCCGGCUAACUACGUGCCAGCAGCCGCGGUAAUACGUAGGGGGCAAGCGUUAUCCGGAUUUACUGGGUGUAAAGGGAGCGUAGACGGCUGCGCAAGUCUGAAGUGAAAGCCCGGGGCUCAACCCCGGGACUGCUUUGGAAACUGUGUAGCUAGAGUGCUGGAGAG
Molecule: ribosomal RNA, 305 nt
Filed under: uncultured bacterium
Lineage: Bacteria
Description: bacterial SSU rRNA
Rfam family: Bacterial small subunit ribosomal RNA
Source: RNAcentral